This 424-nucleotide unclassified non-coding RNA is filed under the name Hevea brasiliensis (rubber tree). Lineage: Eukaryota; Viridiplantae; Streptophyta; Magnoliopsida; Malpighiales; Euphorbiaceae. The record is from RNAcentral.
AAGGAAGUUGGAUCAGGAUGAAGAUCGGAGACCCCUGGAAACAGGCUCUCCCAGUAAAGUCUGUAAAGAAGUUAGGACCUUAAAGAGAGAUGUGGAAUUCACUGAUGCAAUUGCCAAAGCAUUUUCUAGAAUGCAUUUGCAAACUAAUAUGAAGAAUAAUUUUACCAAACGUGGAAUUGAUGGAAGUCCCAGUAUAGGCAAGAAGAAAAACAAAAAAUCCCUGAUUUUUAAUGAACGUUCAUCCUUAGCAUUUUUACAAGAAAAAGUGCCAAAUGAAAUUGCAAACAAAACUGGAGAUGUAGCUAACAGUGUUGUUUCUGAUGGAGUUCUGCUCAAGCUCAUGCAUAAUGAAGUUACAGGCAGAGAGGCAGAAUUUUUACCUUUGUCCCCUCAAAGAAUGGAUAGGAAAUCAAGUUUUAAGAAG